GAUGAACGCUGGCGGCGUGCUUAACACAUGCAAGUCGAACGGUGAAGCAGGAGCUUGCUCUUGUGGAUCAGUGGCGAACGGGUGAGUAACACGUGAGCAACCUGCCCCUGACUCUGGGAUAAGCGCUGGAAACGGCGUCUAAUACUGGAUAUGUGAUGUGACCGCAUGGUCUGCAUCUGGAAAGAAUUUCGGUUGGGGAUGGGCUCGCGGCCUAUCAGCUUGUUGGUGAGGUAAUGGCUCACCAAGGCGUCGACGGGUAGCCGGCCUGAGAGGGUGACCGGCCAAACUGGGACUGAGACACGGCCAAGACUUCUACGGGAGGCAGCAGUGGGGAAUAUUGCACAAUGGGCGGAAGCCUGAUGCAGCAACGCCGCGUGAGGGAUGACGGCCUUCGGGUUGUAAACCUCUUUUAGCAGGGAAGAAGCGAAAGUGACGGUACCUGCAGAAAAAGCACCGGCUAACUACGUGCCAGCCGCCGCCGUAA
RNAcentral lists this ribosomal RNA (484 nucleotides) under uncultured bacterium. RNAcentral describes it as "partial 16S ribosomal RNA". It matches the Rfam family "Bacterial small subunit ribosomal RNA", at positions 28 to 523 of the family's 1533-position model. The record is from RNAcentral.